Molecule: long non-coding RNA, 5001 nt
Filed under: Panax ginseng (ginseng)
Lineage: Eukaryota; Viridiplantae; Streptophyta; Magnoliopsida; Apiales; Araliaceae
Description: long non-coding RNA (PGIN_LNC011000)
Source: RNAcentral
UAUUUUUUUUGCCACGUCAGCAUUUAUUUUUUUAAAAUCUGUUGCCACGUAAUUACCACAUCAUUUUAUUAUUUUUUUUAAAAGCCAGCUGUUAACGUCCGUCCAAUUUUUUGGACGGAAUGGGUUGAUUGUUAAUUUUUAAAAAGUUCAGUGGGCUAAUUGAAUAUUUUAAAAGCACAGUGGCUAAUUCGUUAAAUCACUAUAACCACAGUGACCAAAAGGUGCUUUUUGCCAUAUUAAAAUUAUCAAGUACUUAUACAAACGAGAGACUUUAAUUUAAAAGAAUAUUAGACACUACAAAAUUUGGACCCAAUUUCCAUACUAUCAGAAUCAAAAUAAUAAUUUUUAACCAAACAUUACCAUAAUCCGAAAACUUACAACUGGAACACAAAACUCAACAAAGAUUGAUACAGAACAACUUAAAAACGGGGGGAAAAACUCUAAGAAGGAAAAAAAUGAUGGCAUGUACAUGUGCCGUAUGGUCCAUGUUAUGUGUAAGGAACCUCUAGGCAUUCAAAUACACUUCAAAACAUCAUUAAAACGUAUUACCAUGACCUUAAAAGCUUGCACAGUCAGUUUGUUUUUUGGCACCAAAACAGUCCACAUCUAAGCUUUCUUUGUCUUAAAGAAAACAUGGAAUAACAAUAUGGAUAACACAUAAUAUCAUGAUAAGCAUGGACUGAUUUUGACAUAGUGUACAUGAAUGAGUUUUAUUUCUAUGAUAUAUAUAUCCGGAUGACUUAAUAGAUAACAUAUAGCAAACCGUCACCAAGCUACUUGGCUAGUAUACAAACAUCCCAAACAGUCAUUAUACUUGGACAUAAAAAGGAUAUUAUUCCUCACUAUUAUUUUGAGUUCCAUACAAAAUCUAAGGUAAACCCAAGUACAGGGUUUGGAACCAAUAAACCCAAAGCUUUAAAAGCAUCAAGAUUUACCUCUGCUACGUGAGUUGUUUUACAAAAAGUAAUAGCAAUGUUCAUAUUUUAGAUUUUUGGAUACUUCCCAUUUCUAUCACUUAAUACAACCUUACAAUCCUUCUCUUAUGUGCACAAAAUUUUUUCACUCAAAUAAUUUUUUUUGCAUUUUUACAUUUGAAACAAAGAAGCCCUAAAUUCCUAACUCCAACCAAAACCGUUGCAUGCAAGAAAUUAGGAGUGCCCUCAAACUUAUUCAGUUUUGAUAAAUCAAAACAUAAACAUAAAAAUUAAAAAAAUACUUGCCAAAAGCACCUCUAAGAAAAAGAAAAAAUCCAACUCAAAAAGUGUUGAAAAACUAAACACCUGUAUCACAUCAACUCACAAUGCCUUUUAUCUAAAUCUUCAAAAUGCAUGCCAUUAUUUUCAUCUUGAAACCAUAAAACUUUUGAAUUUAAGCAUACAUAUGGAAGUAAAUAGAGAGACUUACAUAAACGAUAGCUCAGUGAGCUCUAACCUUGUGCAAUUUCUAAGGUUUAUACACCAAAUGCAAGAGAUUACUCUCUGAUUCACCAGUGAAUCUUGAGGGGUUUUACAAACCCUGUACUCCGAUCGUCUCUCUCCAUCUCCUUAUCAGUCUCGUACAGUAAGUACACAGCGUGAGAAAUGCUCAACAACUAUCAUUGGUUAUUAUAAUUUGAGACUGUCAUUAGUUUUGAUUGAUUUUAUUUAUUUAUUAUUAUUAUUAAAAAAAUUGUAAUUCUUGGUUAAGGGCAUUUUUAUUUUAUUUUAUAUAUAGAUUAGUCUUUGAUUAUAUAAAUGAAUUUAUUUUCCUAUUUGUUUUCCCAAGGAAAGUUAUAUUCUUCUGGAGUGCAGCUAUGUAUUUUCGUUUAGUCAAUUUACUUCCUAUUUUUAGAUGGGAAGGAAAAGUUAGGUUCUGUUUUUUCCAUGAGUUUUAUUUUUAAUACUAAUUCUAAAACACUCAUAAAAAAAUAUGGGGACAAAGACAGUUUUUUGUUUUGGACAAUAGUACCCUUAUUAUUCAAAGAGGGUGGAAAACCACAACAUGAAUUGUUAAGGGUAUAUUUGUCCAUUUUGUCCAUUUAUUAUCACCUCACUUUUUAUGUUUAACCGGGAUUAAUUAUUUUGGUUAGUUCUGUUUUUUCCCAACUGCAAGUCUGAAACUGUUGAAAUUGCUUCUUUUUUUAGGUUUAUAAUUGGCUACUUCGAUUAAUUCUGUUUUUCGCCAACUGCAAGUCUAAAACUGCUGAAAUUGUUUAAUUAAGUUUGUCUUAUAAUCUUUUUUUAAUAAUAAUUUCCUUGUCAUCUAUUAUGAUUUGUUGUCUGCUUUAUUCUCUUAUUAUUGAUAUUAUUGUGAUUGUGAUGAUAAUUGUUAUGCAAGUUCUAAUCAAUUUCAGUAUUUACCCUCACAAAUUUGGUAAUAUGAAUAUCCCAUAUCAUUUCAUGAGUCGAUUGUUCUUCAAUUUUCCUGCAACUAUUUUUAUAGUUAUAGUUAUGUCAGUCUCAAUACCCUAUGAUGCAAAGAAGUUACAUGUAUGAUGCGAUUAAGAUAUAUAUAAAAUUAUUUGGUAAAUAACGGUGGUAUGAUUAUAUUUGAAUUUCAUUUCUACCAUCUUCGCCCUUAGAUCACUCUUUUAACUGUUAAAAACUUUCUGAUGGUUCCAUACCAUUAGAUCUCUAUUUUAGCUAUUAAAAACUUUCUUAUGGUUUUUAUAUGUUUAAUUAUUCCCAUGUUUUAUUCCCAUAAUCUUAUUCCCAUGUUUUAUCGUAGGCCCGUAAUCUUUUCUUGCAUAUGCUUUUGUUUUCUCUCCCUUAUGUGGGCUAAUAUUACUUUAUUAGAUGUUGUUACUGGCCUAUUCAAAACAUAAGUACGAAAAUUCCAUAAAGAAGAAAUGAAUUGUAAAAAAUUAAUUAGAAAGAACAUCCAUAUAAGAAUUCAACAACUGAGUACCAGUAAAACAUCUAGAAAACAUACAGGAACAGUAAAUCUUUCAUACCCCAAAAUAAUUUUUUUUAAAAAAAGACAUACUUAAUCAAAUAAACACACAUAAUAUCCAAAGCAUCAACCACCAGAGGGAAAAAAAUAGAACAAAUAUAGAGACUAAAAUAGAAGAAAUUAAAACCCUAGGUCGAGAAAGAAGUGCACAAACCUGUCCAGUAGCCACAAUAACACACACAAUAACAGUAGCUAUUAGACCUGUCCAGUAGCCACAAUAACACACACAAUAAAAGUAUAUUUCUAAAACACAAAUGAAAAAUAAUAUCUUUUAAAAUAGAUUAAAAUGUAUGUGUAAAACCUUAAGACCGAGAUAAAAAUUUAUAGCGUGCAUGCAACCUAUAGAGGAUACUCUUAAUUCAUGUAAAAAUAUUUACCCUAACUUUAUCCAAAGUAAAUUGAUUGAAUUAUUCCUUAAAUGAUUUGGUCCCUAGUUGCCAUAUAAGAUUAAAAAUUAUAAUUAGAUUUGUCAUAAUUAAAACUAAGAUUGAUUUUAGGAUACCACAAUAUCGAGAGAACCCUAAGAAAUACAAAACCUCCGCGGCUAAGAAAGCUAAACACAUUGUUACCCAAUAUAACAAUUGAUCCAUGAUCAAUCCUAAUGGAGCUAAUGCAGAUAUAGUUAUGCAUAAAUUUUUAUUAUGUGUGUGUAGAGAGAGAGGGGUUACUAUUACAAACCUGAGUAGAGUAGAGAGGUUUGUCUCACUGUUCGGUUCUAGUAAAAGAACCGUCCGUGAAAGGCCGAAUUGAGACUAUUUAUACACUUUAUAUGUUAAGAAAACAUUUUAGGCAAAGAACGCCUUGCACAAUGUAGCGGUGACCACUUACAGGGUUACUUUUAUAUACACCACAAAUGCAUAUGUAUGCUCCAGUCCACGACAUAAAACAGUUUGGGUGGAUGUUCAUAAAAAGAUUAGGAAUAAUCCAUAAAAACCUGUUUAUAUGCGAGGUCAAUGAAAUAAGGUUGUUCAAAAGGAUAAUAUGUACAUUUACCAACUAUUCUUAUUAAAUGAGUCAUUUGCAUUGAGACAAAUAGAAAACUAUAAUAAAUGCAAUAUACAUGAGUCCACUUCAACUACAUUCUAAAGGAUAGGAGACUGCAGGAAGCUUGAACAUAUUAAUAUUGACACCUCCUAUGCAUGUGGAUAUCAAUAUUAGAGAAGAUAAGUCCAGCUACAAAUUGGAAUCACCAGUCAUGCAAAUUUUACUUCAGGUUUGCCACGUGUUAACGAUACUUUGAUUUCACAAAAAACUGGGCAGAUGUUGAGCCCAAAGGGAUUGUAAAGCCUUAAUUGGUAUUUUAUACACUCUAGAAUACCUUAAAGUAUAAUGUGUGGUGUGGACUCAUAGCCUCAUAUGAUACCUCAUUCAUAACCCAGAAGGGCGGGGACACCUUGUGACUGUUGUUUCAAGAACUUUCUAAGAUUUUAAAACUUGUGUAAAAAAAUUGUUUCCUUCGAAUAUUAUCCUUACAUAAUGGAGUCCACUCCAAUCGGUAAUGUUGGAAAAUAAAGGAAAAAUAAUGUGCAUAAGUUAAUCCUAUACAAAAUAAGUGCGAUUUUAACCCAUCUUAACUCUGCUUUUCUCCUUAAGUCCCUCCUCCUGGUUCUCAUUCUUAGUCUUUGAAUCCCAUGGGGAGUUUCUCUUAUAAGUCUUUCUUUACUCAUUUUUUAGGGAGUUGUUCUUUGAACGGGUUUCUGUAGCUUCUUACAUAUGGAAAGGUGGGUUAUUAAAGUAUAUUAACACAAAAUUACUCAUCAUGUAGGCUAUUUGUCCUCAUGGCAUCUCUUCACUUACGAGACUUAAGGAAUGAUAUAAAAAAAGGGAAAAAUCUUCAAUAAAAAUAAAUAAAAAGAAAAUAAGUAAACUUAGUAAAUAUAGAACAACUCAGACCCCAAAUGAACAAAUUUAAACUUAGAAAUGAUCUUUCUCAUUCUCAAAGAAAGAGGGGUAAAGGGAUUGUCUUUUCAAGGUCCAUACCAACCUUACAUUCACCUUUUUUUCUUUUAUAUAGUCUUGCAAACCUUGUUCUUUUGGUUGAGCAUAUUAUUAUUAUUAUUAUUACAACUG